GUGUUAAUAUACCUAAAGGGGGUCUAUAUUCUCAAUUAUUAUUUAAACUAUUAGAUAAAUGAACUACUUUUACACAAGUUCACUACUGUCGUGAUAUUUAAGAGCGUUAUUAAUAAUACACACCAGCACACAAAGACCACCUAAAAGAGGAGACCUGGGUCAUCUCUUGUAUAAUCCUGAUGUUUGGCCAUCAUUCUGGUUUACGAGUUGGUCUUCGAUUAUUUGAUUAACAAUUUUAGACAACAAAUCAAUGGAUGUAUACAGUUCCAGGGCAGUAUAUUUAUCCUUUUCGUGAAUAUUACCAACAAUGGCAUCAGGACUUAGAAGUAUAUCUAAAAUACUUCUUUUGGAAUCAAGACUUUUGAGAAGGGUAGUUAGAAGAUUUAUUUAGUUCCACACAGACAUUAGCAUGUCCGCCAACAACUUGGAUUUUAAUAUAUUUAUUUAUAACUAUUGUUAAUAAAAUGUAAUACUAUAUGAUCGAAAAACAAACAGCGUCCAGUUAGCUGGGAAAUGACGAUUGACGACAUUUUCCAUAUAAAUUUACAUAUAAAAUGACAGGUAUCUUUAUUUCAUAGCCAUCGCUGACGCUGUUUUUUUUCGAUCAUACGGUAUAUUAAUAACAGAGCGCUUUUAGAUGGAGCGGAGCAUCCGCGCGGAUUGUCCGCGUGUUUAACAUACGCAACCCAUGUGAAAUUGUUCAUAUAAACUCAUGGUACUUGCUCGAAGUCGCGGAUGGUCCGCUCCAUCUGAAAGCGCUGUAAAUGAAAAUGUUCAUCAAUGAUAACAAAAAAAAAUAGAUGUAUUUUACCUUUAGAUAUUUUUUAGAUAAUAAGUUCAAAAUAUUCUUUAUUAUUUGGAAAAAAUCUUAGCGUAAGAAUAUGUUUAGUCUAUUUCUUUUUAUCAGAUAAAAAAAUAAAAUAUGUAAACCUCUACUGCCGUGUUAACGAAUAUUGUCUAAUCUGAUGUGUUGAACAAGUUCAUAUCUUUUUCGUUUAUGCAUAUUUCUAAAUAAUGUACUUUAUAUCGUAUGAUCGAAAAAAAACGGCGUCAGUGAUGGCUAUGAAAUGAAGAUCGCUAUCAUUUUAUAUGUAAAUUUAUAUGGGAAAUAUCAUCGAUCGUCAUUUCCCAGCCAACUGGACGCCGUUUUUUUCGAUCAUAUGGUAUAAUAAUACCGUCAGAUUACUUAGUUGGAAAAUGCGUUAAUAUUUAUAACACCCGUUUAUCUCAAAUGUAGCUAAGGCUUUUUUAUUAAUACGGCAGUAUAUUAUAACAUAACUGUGUAACAUUAUAUGAUAUGAUCGAAAAAAAACGGCGUCAGC
Molecule: long non-coding RNA, 1322 nt
Filed under: Sitophilus oryzae (rice weevil)
Lineage: Eukaryota; Metazoa; Arthropoda; Insecta; Coleoptera; Curculionidae
Description: uncharacterized LOC115882070, transcript variant X1
Source: RNAcentral